This 401-nucleotide ribosomal RNA is filed under the name Copepoda sp. 36_UnivF-1183. RNAcentral describes it as "SSU rRNA". It matches the Rfam family "Eukaryotic small subunit ribosomal RNA", at positions 1241 to 1664 of the family's 1831-position model. Lineage: Eukaryota; Metazoa; Arthropoda; Copepoda. The record is from RNAcentral.
UGACAGAUUGAGAGCUCUUUCUCGAUUCGAGUGGGUGGUGGUGCAUGGCCGUUCUUAGUUGGUGGAGUGAUUUGUCUGGUUAAUUCCGAUAACGAACGAGACUCUGUCCUGCUAAAUAGUGAGUUGAUUCCUUUGUCAACUCGUCUUCUUAAAGGGACUGGCGGAUUCAAACCGCACGAGAUUGAGCAAUAACAGGUCUGUGAUGCCCUUAAAUGUUCUGGGCUGCACACCCCCUACACUGAAGGGAUCAACGUGCUUUCCCUGUCCGAUAGGACCGGGUAACCCGCUGAACCCCCUUCGUGGUAGGGAUUGGAGCUUGCAAUUAUUCUCCAUGAACCAGGAAUUCCCAGUAGGUGCAAGUCAUAAGCUUGCCUCGAUUACGUCCCUGCCCUUUGUAAUAA